UACUUUGUAGUUAGCCAUUUUUUUCCAAAUUUUAAUUUAUAAUCUUUUAGUUCCUGGAAAUUUUUAUCAUUCCUUUAACAAAUUAUAAAAGAUCCUUCUAAUGGUCAGUAGAUAUGGUACAUGCUGAUACACAUUAACUAGAGAUGAUGACCUUUGAGUAGCAAAGCACAGACUAUAUUGAGAAAGAGUAGUUUAAUUACUCAUGGGCAACAGCAGUUCGAGUUCUUUAGAGGUCAGUCCCAAACUUAGCUACGACACCAGCUCUCCAAGAGCUGGGUAAUGAUGAUCUGCAGUGACGCCGCUGAGACUGUAUUUGGACCUGCAAGAGGAGAAGGGCAAAAUCUGAAGCUGCUACAAUCCUGGGAAGGGGAAAGCUAUGUGGGAUGUAGGGAAGUAAGCCACACUUACCAAGAGAAACUUGCCUGGCUGUCCAGCAGUUAAAGUUCAGAACUUUCUGGAGUCUUUCCAAUGAGACUCGUCCACUGUGAAGAAAUGACGGUGAUAUAAACAACAAAAGUAAUCAAGUAUUUGUAAACCAGGCACUGUGCUAGGCACUCAGUAUGUGCAAAGGCAAAAGUGAAACUGUCCUUCCCUUCCAGGAGCUUACAUUCUAAGAUGUCCUAUUUCAUAACAAAUCAGCAAAGUAAAGAAAAAUACAUCAAAACACAACAUGUCUGGAGUGUAACUCGACACAGCUGAUGGAUUGUUGCCUUCAGUGGGUGGAAAUCAAGACAACCAGAGCUCAAAGCUGACUUCAGACACUUACUAACUAUGGGACUCUGGGCAAGUCACUUAAACCUCUAUUUGCCUCAGUUUCUUCAGCUGUAAAAUUCAGAUAAUAAUAGUAUCUGUCUCACAGUAUCAUUGUAAAGAUUAAAUGAGAUAAUAUCUGUAAAAAGCAUUGUAGUAGCACAUAGUAAUUGCUAUAUAAACGCUUAUUAGCCCCACCCCCCUCCUGAUACAUUUUCUACUAUGAAACACUACCCCUUCUUUUGGUCAGGGAAGGCAGUUGAGUUCAAAAACGAGCUCAUCAUCCUUGCCAAGUUUUUCCCCUGCAUUUAUUUAUAUCAACAGAAUCCUAGCAUUGGAUCAGCCGAGAAAGUAUAAGAGUAAUACAAAAUGCAGCAGAAAUUGUCUCCUGCAACAAAGUAGACACACAAUUUUAUAUUUUUUAUAAAAUCCUAAUGUUUCUGCCUUAAAUAUUGUAAUUGAUCUGCAGUGUUGGGCAAACAGGAUUUGCUACUGAUUCCUCUGAUGAAACAGGAGGGGAAAACCUGCAUCCUGAAUUUCAGCCCUUUUUUUGUGGCCCUGACCCAAAUUCUUUACAGCUGAGUCAUGGCAUCAUCGCUGGUGGGGAGAGAACACUGGCUGAGUACCGGGGGUGGCAGUGAAGGGACACAUACUGAAAAGCUAUUCCUGUGGUUUUGCUUCUCCCCACCCCCUCCUUCUGCACCAUGACUGAGUAUUUUUUUUUGUGCAUCAAAAGAGCAAGCAGUCACCACCAUACUUACUGUAUUUUUUUAAAGACGGUACUGAUUUCUAGGGAGAAAAAAUGCUUUAAAUAAGCUUCUGCCAAAGAAGUUUCCUAUGUCAGACCACCUCGCGUAACUUCUGGUUUGGAAAAUCUGCUCAGUACGCAGGUGAUCCUUCACCGUCCCUGAAAAAAUUUGACAGCACAUACGUUCUAAAUGUAAGGGAAGAAGGGUGUCACCAUUUAAAUGAACUCUGAAGUUAAUCCUAUUAAAAAGAAAAUAUCACCCCAAUUUAACUAGUCUCCCUUUGGGGAUUGUCAUCUAUCAGGAUUGUUGUCUUCUAUAAUCACAAUAUUUCAUCACCAGCAGAUGUUAUAAAGAAGUUGUGGGUAAUGGGAUAUUUUCUCACACAAAAAGAACUAGCUUAAACAAAGAGUAACAACAAACAGAGCUUUUCAAAAAAUCCUUUCUUUUCCUUCAGUCUUAGAAUCAAUACUGGGUAUUGGCUCUAAGGCAGAAGAGUGGUGAAGGUGAGGCAAUGGGGUUAAGUGACUGGCCCAGGUUCACAUAGCUAGGAAGUAUCUGAGGGCAAAUUUGAGCCCCAGAUCUUCUGUCUCUAGGCAUGGUACUCUAUCCAUUAAGCCACCCAGCUGCCCCAGUAGGUCUUUCUUUUGAUGGAGAAGUAUUCAUGUUUGAAUCCUCCAGGGAUCCAUUCUGGGAUCAUUCUUUUUUAACAGUCUCAUAAAUGAUUACACAGCAAACUACAAUUUUGCAAAUUACAACGAACCCUUAAAAACCUCCCAAGCUAAGAACCACAAAAUACUGGAAAGUUUCCCACAUGUUUUAAGUGGGUAGAAAAAUGGCAAUAAUUUGAACAGGCAAAUGCACCUAGAA
This is a long non-coding RNA of Monodelphis domestica (gray short-tailed opossum), 2366 nucleotides long. RefSeq lists it as uncharacterized. The record is from RefSeq and is a predicted model, not a curated record. NCBI's taxonomy places the organism in Eukaryota, Metazoa, Chordata, Mammalia, Didelphimorphia, Didelphidae.